Micropterus salmoides (largemouth bass) is the source of this 1554-nucleotide long non-coding RNA. RefSeq lists it as uncharacterized. The transcript has 2 exons. The record is from RefSeq and is a predicted model, not a curated record. Lineage: Eukaryota; Metazoa; Chordata; Actinopteri; Centrarchiformes; Centrarchidae.
UGUGUUGUAAUAUGUGUGUGUGUGUGUGUGUGUGGUAGCUGCAGCAGUGCAGUCAGAUUUACGAGCGCUGCAGUGCCACUCAGCUUCUCCUCCCUCUGACUCACCCUGCUCUCUCUCGUCUGACCGCCUCUACUUUUAUUAGCUUAUUAGCAUAGGAUGCUAAAGCUAUUAGCAUGGGUUGCCAAAGCUCAACACUGACAGGAAAUAAAAACACCACAUAUGUUUUUUAUUUAUUUAUAGAGCACGUUUAAGUAAAAACUGUUAAGGACGGUCGAUCUGUACGGGAUUCAGCAAAUGAUGUUAAUUCACCGGAACAGAAAACCAGUCCAGACUGGUUCCAGUAAAACCAACCCACUGUCUGUUCUCAGGUCAGACAGCAUGUUAUUCUUUUCCCUCCAGUGGUUCAGCCAUUCUGAGAUCAUUCUGUUCUUUUCUUUUUUGUCACUGUUUUGGUUUUUUUGGUGUUUGUGUUUUGCUGCUCUCAUUCUGGUAAGCCCUUCCUCUUGUUCCUCUUGGUGUGUUUCACUUCCUGUUUCUGUGUUAUUUAUUCAUUCAUUCUGUUUCACUUUGGUAUGUUCCUCUCCUCUCUGGCCACUUCACUUCCUGCUGAGUUAGGUCAUGUUCCUCUUCCCUGAAUGUGUCCACCUGUGCCUCAUCUAUCACUUCCUGUUUUGUGAGUGUUUCUUCUUUUUAAGCUGCAAAUUCGUCACGUCUUUCUCCCUCUCUUCAGCCGAGUGUUUCCCAGUGACUGUUGGAUUAUCUACGUUUUGGACUGUAGAUUUCAUGGAUCUAUGUGUUCAUGCCACUCAGGACUUAUGCUGCAUUUCUUUGGACUGCUUCUUCUCCACAAAACAGAAGAGAAAGACAGCCGGUAGAGACUCAUCAGACGGACAGACGUCACUCACAUGUCCUCAGUGGUUAACCUCCUCAUAUCCUCUGAGGUUAACUGGACUGCAUGCAGUUUAAAUACUUCAACCAGAAGAGACUUCAUGGCCAGCAUGCAGCAGGGAUUGGAAAAUGGAAAGGAUAAGGAUAAAGGAAGAAAUGGGGGAAAUAAAAAAAGGAAAAGAUGGAAAAGAAACAGAAAGAAAUAAUUCAUCAUGCAACAACAAAAAGAAAACAUCAACAUGCAUAGACAUUUAAAUCAAAUCCUGACAGCAGGCAGAACAAACAGAAACUGUAUGAAAAGAUGUAGAAUAAAAACACAGACAACAUAUAUGUCGCUCUGCCGAGCGACACGUUCUUCACCUGUUUCUUUACGUCUCAUAUAAAACACUUACAUCUUCAUAUAACUGAAGAGGUUGUCUUUAAGACGAGCAUAAAUAAUGUGUUGAUACAGAGCCAACAGUUAUCGAUUUAGGAAGUCCAGGGCGGCUCUUAAAUUAAAUUAUUUAAAACAAGCACAAAUUUGCUUAUUCAAGGCUGACAUGGCAACGCUGAAUGAAAGCAGAGCAGUGAGGAGCAGUCAGGCAUUUAAUAAACCUAAGGUCAUGAGUCCAAAUGUCUCCAAUGCAGCCCCAUCCCAUUAAAAAUAUUUCUGACUGGGGACCAAAA